Molecule: long non-coding RNA, 603 nt
Filed under: Homo sapiens (human)
Lineage: Eukaryota; Metazoa; Chordata; Mammalia; Primates; Hominidae
Description: non-protein coding lnc-CCT8L2-1:4
Source: RNAcentral
CAGUGUCCAUUGAAGGACAUUGAACACAUGUACCAAAAUGACCAACCUAUUUUGGAAAAAUAUGUGAGAAAGCAGCAGUCUAUAGAGGAUGGACUAUUUCAACUACAAAGCCAAAAUCUGUUGUAUCAACAGCAAUGUAAUGAUGCUCACAAGAAAGCUGACAAUCAGGAAAAAACAAUAAUUAAUAUCCAAGUCAAAUGUGAAGAUACUGUAGAAAAACUUCAAGCUGAGUGUAGAAAGCUAGAAGAGAACAAUAAGGGGUUGAUGAAGGAAUGCACUCUUUUAAAAGAAAGACAAUGCCAAUAUGAAAAAGAGAAAGAAAAAGGAGAAUUGCAAGAAAUGCAGGAUCAACGCACAGAGACUCUAAGAUGUGCUGAGGAGAUGCCAGACCACAUGCAAAAAUGCAGCAGGUGUACAAGGAAACAUAACUGUAGAAGUAGCUGAAGAGUUACUGCGCAUUUCUGUGUCAUCUACAUGCCAUGAAAGUCUUAAAAUCAAUUGUCAAUUUCUACAAAAUACCCGCUUGGAUUUGAACUGUGAUUGCAUUAUGUCAUGAGAAAGAAUGAACAUCUUAACAAUGAUGAGUCUCUCAACUCAUGAAUA